RNAcentral lists this ribosomal RNA (396 nucleotides) under uncultured bacterium. Its description in RNAcentral is "partial 16S ribosomal RNA". It matches the Rfam family "Bacterial small subunit ribosomal RNA", at positions 338 to 731 of the family's 1533-position model. The record is from RNAcentral.
CCUACGGGUGGCAGCAGUGAGGAAUAUUGGUCAAUGGGCGCGAGCCUGAACCAGCCAAGUAGCGUGCGGGAAGACGGCCCUACGGGUUGUAAACCUCUUUUGUCGGGGAGCAACGCGCGCCACGUGUGGCGCCUCUGAGAGUACCCGGAGAAAAGGCAUCGGCUAAUCCCGUCCCGGCGGCCGGGGUAAUACGGAGGCUCGGGCGGUUAUCCGGAUUUAUGGGGUUUAAGGGGUGCGUAGGCGGAGCGUUAAGUGAGUGGUAAAAUUGCGGGGCUCAACCGCGUCCCGCCAGGGAAACUGGCGCGCUUGAGUGGAAGGGAAGUAUGCGGAAUGCGUGGUGUAGCGGUGAAAUGCAUAGAUAUGACGAAGAACCCCGAUUGCGAAGGCAGCAUGCCG